This 431-nucleotide ribosomal RNA is filed under the name uncultured bacterium. RNAcentral's name for it is "partial 16S ribosomal RNA". It matches the Rfam family "Bacterial small subunit ribosomal RNA", at positions 29 to 507 of the family's 1533-position model. The record is from RNAcentral.
AACGAACGCUGGCGGCAGGCUUAACACAUGCAAGUCGAACGCCCCGCAAGGGGAGUGGCAGACGGGUGAGUAACGCGUGGGAAUCUACCCUGAACUGCGGGAUAGCUCCGGGAAACUGGAAUUAAUACCGCAUGUGCCCUGAGGGGCAAAGAUUUAUCGGUUCAGGAUGAGCCCGCGUCCGAUUAGCUAGUUGGUGGGGUAAAGGCCUACCAAGGCGACGAUCGGUAGCUGGUCUAAGAGGAUGAUCAGCCACAUUGGGACUGAGACACGGCCCAAACUCCUACGGGAGGCAGCAGUGGGGAAUAUUGGACAAUGGGCGCAAGCCUGAUCCAGCCAUGCCGCGUGAGUGAUGAAGGCCCUAGGGUUGUAAAGCUCUUUCACCGGGGACGAUAAUGACGGUACCCGGAGAAGAAGCCCCGGCUAACUUCGUG